GACGAACGCUGGCGGCGUGCCUAAUGCAUGCAAGUCGAGCGACGCACAUCGGAGGGGUACCCCACCGAUAUGACGGAGCGGCGAACGGGUGAGUAACACGUGAGCAACCUGCCCCACAGAUCGGGAUAGCCCAGGGAAACCUGGAUUAAUACCGAAUACCCUCGAGUAACCACAUGAUUGUUCGAGGAAAUGCCUUUGUGCUGUGGGAUGGGCUCGCGGCUUAUCAGCUAGUUGGUGGGGUAACGGCCUACCAAGGCAUCGACGAGUAGCUGGUCUGAGAGGACGAUCAGCCACACUGGGACUGAGACACGGCCCAGACUCCUACGGGAGGCAGCAGCAGGGAAUCUUGCGCAAUGGGCGAAAGCCUGACGCAGCAACGCCGCGUGGGGGAUGAAGGCCUUCGGGUUGUAAACCCCUUUCAGGAGGGAAGAAAUUGACGGUACCUCCAAAAGAAGCCCCGGCUAACUACGUG
RNAcentral lists this ribosomal RNA (472 nucleotides) under uncultured bacterium. RNAcentral describes it as "partial 16S ribosomal RNA". It matches the Rfam family "Bacterial small subunit ribosomal RNA", at positions 28 to 507 of the family's 1533-position model. The record is from RNAcentral.